AGCAGUGACGCUCUGUUUUCUUUUAAAUUUCUACUUCCUGAAACCGAGGCUGUUUAUGAGAAACAGUGUAUUUCAGGGAGAUUGUCCUAAAAUUAACCUUUUUCAGAGUUAGAUUUGCUGGCCUUAAAAGUGUUUAUCCUCUUCUUCGUGACAAAGUACAUAGGUAAUCAUAAAAGAAACCAUCACUGGUACGAUGACCUCAGUGAUUUUGCCAGGAAACAGUUAUCUGCAGUCAACCACCACCAGAAGCAGAUGAUCUUCCUUCUGACAUUUCGUCACAUGCCUGCAUCAUUCACCUGACUUCAUCUCCUCACAUAGGUAUUUUAUCGGCUCACGUCAUCACAAGAAGAAUGGUACCUCCGCCUUGAAGGGGCUCUUUUAUUGAGAAUCGAUGUCUUCUUCUGCGUAAUUGAUCACCAUAGACCCAGGGACACUUGACUCAUCGUUGAGGAAGAGUGAUCAUCAUGAAUAAUCAAAAAGCUGUAGCUACACUACUGCAAGAGUGCAAGCAAGUGCUGGACCAGCUCUUGUUGGAGGCGUCAGAUGUGUCGAAGGAGGACAAGAGCGAGGACCAGCAGUGCAGAGCUUCACUCCCCAGUGAGUUAAGGACCCUGAUCCAGGAGGCAAAGGAAAUGAAGUGGCCCUUCGUGCCUGAAAAGUGGCAGUACAAACAAGCCGUGGGCCCAGAGGACAAAACAAACCUGCAGGAUGUGAUUGGCGCCUGGUUGCAGCAGUUACUGGUAGGGAGAGCCCCACCACCUGUUCCUCUGACACCCCCAAGUA
Leptonychotes weddellii (Weddell seal) is the source of this 783-nucleotide non-coding RNA. NCBI's taxonomy places the organism in Eukaryota, Metazoa, Chordata, Mammalia, Carnivora, Phocidae. The record is from RefSeq and is a predicted model, not a curated record.